GUACAGCAAAGCUGUUUUUGGUUUCUGUUUACUGCGCGAUGCCUUCUUUCUUCUCCCCUGCUCUCCCUGUUACUGUUAGGAUUUGGAAUGGAAACUCAUUUAUGUGCUGAGGAUGAGAUAUAUGAUCAACUUCAUGAAAGUAUGCUUGUUGGGCCAGUAAUGUUGCCAGCCACCCUUUUGUCCAUGAGGCCCCUGGCAGGCAGAUCCUCCAGAUCCAUAAAAAAUGUGUGAUUAUGAAUUGAAGACAUCAUUGGUGUCACGGUACUGCUAUUGACAUAUGCUUAUCUGGGACUAGAGUUUAUUCAAGUUGGAUGCUAUGUGAACAAUGAUUAUGAUGAUGAAUGGCUGCGAGAGGAACCUCCACCAGAGGUUUUGAUUGAUAGGGUUCAAAGAAAUAUUUUGGCUGACAAUCCCAAGGUCACGGAGAUGUUAAUCGAAGAACCCCCUCCUUUAACCGAGUAUGCCAUUGAAACCAAUGAGAAUGGAGAAAAACCAUGCCACUCCCUUCACCUGAUUGUCCGUCCAACU
Molecule: long non-coding RNA, 528 nt
Organism: Quercus lobata
Lineage: Eukaryota; Viridiplantae; Streptophyta; Magnoliopsida; Fagales; Fagaceae
Exons: 3
Source: RefSeq, a predicted model, not a curated record